RNAcentral lists this transfer RNA (72 nucleotides) under Albula goreensis. It matches the Rfam family "tRNA". From Rfam's summary of the family: Transfer RNA (tRNA) molecules are approximately 80 nucleotides in length. Their secondary structure includes four short double-helical elements and three loops (D, anti-codon, and T loops). Lineage: Eukaryota; Metazoa; Chordata; Actinopteri; Albuliformes; Albulidae. The record is from Rfam by way of RNAcentral.
GCCUCGUUAGCGCGCAGGUGGCGCGUCAGUCUCAUAAUCUGAAGGCCGUGAGUUCGAUCCUCACACGGGGCA